Bradysia coprophila is the source of this 222-nucleotide long non-coding RNA. The record is from RefSeq and is a predicted model, not a curated record. Lineage: Eukaryota; Metazoa; Arthropoda; Insecta; Diptera; Sciaridae.
GUCAAUGGAUAGAGCUUGAAGUAAGCUACAAAACUUCUUGCUACUAACUUUCCCAGCCGCCCAGAGCCUUUCAAAAUUUUUUGUUUUUUCGAGGUUUUUAACUUGUUGCGGCGACUGGGUGGGCCGAACAUCGGCGUUUGUUGGUCAAUAAUAUUCAGCUCAUUGACCUUCAUAAACGUGCACAAUUUGACAUUAUUCACAUCUUGCAUUUUGGAGUAAUUG